UGCGAGUUGAAUGGGAUACCUAAAGUUCCCAUAUGCAAACUGCUCAGUAACACAUGAUCAACUUACCCUAUAGAGAAAAAUAACCUCGGGAAACUGAGGAUAAUAUUUCAUAAUUGAAUUGGCUUGGAAAAGUUUUUCAAUGAAAAGGAUAAAAAAAAUGGUUUUUAUCUGCUAUAGGAUAGGAUCGUGUUCGAUUAUGGUUGUUGGUGAGAUAAUGGCUCACCAAGCCGAUAAUCGAUAGGGGCCGUGAGAGCGGGAGCCCCGAGAUGGGUACUGAGACAACGACCCAGGCCUUACGAGGCGCAGCAGGCGCGGAACCUCCGCAAUACACGAAAGUGUGACGGGGUUACCCAAAGUGUUCAAUAGAACUGUGGUAGGUGAGUAAUGUUCCCUACUAGAAAGGAGAGGGCAAGGCUGGUGCCAGCCGCCGCGGUAAAACCAGCUCUUCAAGUGGUCGGGAUAAUUAUUGGGCUUAAAGUGUCCGUAGCCGGUUUAGUUAGUUCCUGGUAAAAUCGGGUAGCUUAACUAUCUGCAUGCUAGGAAUACUGCUAUACUAGAGGGCGGGAGAGGUCUGAGGUACUACAGGGGUAGGGGUGAAAUCUUAUAAUCCUUGUAGGACACCAGUGGCGAAGCGUCAGACUGGAACGCGCCUGAC
This 655-nucleotide ribosomal RNA is filed under the name uncultured archaeon. RNAcentral's name for it is "bacterial SSU rRNA". It matches the Rfam family "Archaeal small subunit ribosomal RNA", at positions 52 to 695 of the family's 1478-position model. The record is from RNAcentral.